Molecule: non-coding RNA, 73 nt
Organism: Trichonephila clavata
Lineage: Eukaryota; Metazoa; Arthropoda; Arachnida; Araneae; Nephilidae
Source: the annotation of a GenBank genome assembly
AUCCCUAUAGGGCAAUGGAUAGCGCAUUGGACAUCUAAUCCAAAGGUCGUGUGUUCAAAUCCCAUCUGGGAUG